This 493-nucleotide ribosomal RNA is filed under the name Sarocladium sp. DMKU-SP221. RNAcentral describes it as "LSU rRNA". It matches the Rfam family "Eukaryotic large subunit ribosomal RNA", at positions 137 to 649 of the family's 3401-position model. The record is from RNAcentral. Lineage: Eukaryota; Fungi; Ascomycota; Sordariomycetes; Hypocreales; Sarocladiaceae.
AGAGUUGUUUUUUGUAAAGAAUGCUUUUGUGCAAGGUACUUUACCGAGUUCCCUGGAACGGGACGCCAUAGAGGGUGAGAGCCCCGUACGGUCAGACCACCGAGCCUCUGUAAAGCUCCUUCGACGAGUCGAGUAUUUUGGGAAUGCUGCUCUAAAUGGGAGGUGUACGUCUUCUAAAGCUAAAUACCGGCCAGAGACCGAUAGCGCACAAGUAGAGUGAUCGAAAGAUGAAAAGCACUUUGAAAAGAGGGUUAAAAAGUACGUGAAAUUGUUGAAAGGGAAGCAUUCAUGACCAGACUUGGGCUUGGUUGAACAUCCGGCGUUCUCGCCGGUGCACUCUGCCAGUCCAGGCCAGCAUCAGUUUGACCCGGGGGACAAAGGCGGUGGGAAUGUGGCUCCCCUCGGGGAGUGUUAUAGCCCGCCGUGUAAUGCCCUGGGUUGGACUGAGGAACGCGCUUCGGCACGGAUGCUGGCGUAAUGGUCAUCAAUGACC